UCAUAUGAUAUUUUUUUCAGAAUUAUUUUCAUUAUUGUUAUAAGUCAGCUUGACUCUUUCAUUCAUACAGCUGAGAAAGAAGCAUAUGCUUCUGUCAUUCGUGCUUUCUUGUACAGAACCAACAAUUUCACUCAGGAUAAGUAAAAUGUGGUAAUUGGUCUUAUUGAAGAACUGAUGAUUACAGAGGAAGAGAAUGAACACAAAGAGCUUCUUCAAGAGGUUAACAAUGAUGCAAUACUCUACCACUCAAGCAAAUCACCCUCUCCAACAGUUCCAGCUUCACCAGAGAUACAAAUGGACUUUCAAGAUUCUUAAAUGGAUCAACCAUUGGCCGGGUUUUUAUCUUCAGUGAAGUCUGUGGAGGAUCAUUCUGUUCAAGUUGAACCUGCUAAAGCAGCAACUUUAGAUAUAUUGAUUGGGAAGAAACUUCGUAUUAAAUGGUCAGAGCUUGCCGAGAUUACUGAUUAUGACCCUGCCCGGUGAUAUAUUUAACUCGAAAUUUAUAGCUGUUAAAAUCCCUUUUCAGAUUGAUAUGUCUAAAUAUUUUCACAUGUAAAAAUCUUUUUUUUUUGGGGGGUUUCG
This is a long non-coding RNA of Medicago truncatula (barrel medic), 582 nucleotides long. RefSeq lists it as uncharacterized. The record is from RefSeq and is a predicted model, not a curated record. The transcript is spliced from 4 exons. Lineage: Eukaryota; Viridiplantae; Streptophyta; Magnoliopsida; Fabales; Fabaceae.